RNAcentral lists this ribosomal RNA (291 nucleotides) under uncultured bacterium. Its description in RNAcentral is "partial 16S ribosomal RNA". It matches the Rfam family "Bacterial small subunit ribosomal RNA", at positions 333 to 620 of the family's 1533-position model. The record is from RNAcentral.
UUGAGCCUACGGGGGGCAGCAGUGAGGAAUAUUGGUCAAUGGCCGCAGGGCUGAACCAGCCAAGUCGCGUGAGGGAUGACGGUCCUAUGGAUUGUAAACCUCUUUAGGCGGGGAGCAAUGCCGGGCACGUGUGCCCGGAGGGAGAGUACCCGCAGAAUAAGCAUCGGCUAACUCCGUGCCAGCAGCCGCGGUAAUACGGAGGAUGCGAGCGUUAUCCGGAUUUAUUGGGUUUAAAGGGUGCGCAGGCGGUCUGUUAAGUCAGCGGUCAAAGCCCGGGGCUCAACCCCGGCC